GAUUGAUACUAAGCCAUGCGAGUCUUUGCAGUAAUGCAAGGCGGACUGCUCAGUAACACGUAGUCAACUUAACCUAUGGAUGGGUAUAACCUCGGGAAACUGAGAAUAAUUUCCAAUAGAUCAUUUAUCCUGGAAUGGUUAGUGAUUGAAAUGAUUCGUCGCCAUAGGAUAGGACUGCGGCCUAUCAGCUUGUUGGUGAGGUAAAGGCCCACCAAGGCUAUUACAGGUACGGGCUCUGAGAGAAGAAGCCCGGAGAUGGGUACUGAGACACGGACCCAGGCCCUAUGGGGCGCAGCAGGCGAGAAAACUUUGCAAUGUGCGAAAGCACGACAAGGUUAAUCCGAGUGACUUCUGCUAAAGAAAUCUUUUGCCAGUUCUAAAAAUACUGGUGAAUAAGGGGUGGGCAAGUUCUGGUGCCAGCAGCCGCGGUAAU
This 433-nucleotide ribosomal RNA is filed under the name uncultured archaeon. Its description in RNAcentral is "bacterial SSU rRNA". It matches the Rfam family "Archaeal small subunit ribosomal RNA", at positions 36 to 474 of the family's 1478-position model. The record is from RNAcentral.